UCUGGUGUAGUCCUGGAACAAGGGUUUUGCUGCGGAGGGAAACGGCCAGAGAGACCUCGAUCUAAGACCGGGGUUCGGAGACUGGCGGGCCUCGGAACAGCAGAGCUAGCGGACUUCCGGUCUGGCCCUCCGCUCACGGCCGAGGGCAAGGCGGGUUAGGUCACCUGCUGAGGAAAGAGCUCAAUAUGUCACGUGUUCCUCUCCCAAUGACGUGGACCUCAGUUCCCUCUCCAGUGAAGUGGGCACAGUGUUGCCCGAAAAAGGGUGCUCUGGGGCUUGCCUGAGACGGGACGCGUGGAAAUGCCCUGCCGAAUAUGAAUGGGGCGAUGGCCUCGCGGGACGGAGCAGCCCAGGAGAGCUGACCGUGGGCUGGGUUGUGGAGCGGAGCCCCAGGGCCUCGGCUGACUUAGCGGCCAGUCGUACAUAGCGGGUAUGCGGCGGGCCCGACGCCAGUCGUUGUGGACCACUGACUUGUAAUCUUUACGACCUCAGUGAGGGUCAGAAGUGUCCGCGAGCCCUGUAGGCGAGGAGAGGCCUGGCUGAGGGCGCACAGCCUGGAAGGGGAGAAACUAGAGCUGGACCCUGCUUGACCCACAGACCCUCCGCCAGGUUGCCUUUGCGAGGCAAGAAGCGAAGGUUGGCGAGCCAGCUGGGAGUACCCACCCCCUCCAUGCCUGGUGGAGUCACCCAAGCCCCAGCGACACCCCCGGCCUGCCCAAGGUACUGGUGACCCUGGAGGCCGGGGCCCUGGCUUCUCAGUCAGGGUCUCCUCCCCGUGGCGGCAGAGCUGUCUGGCGUUUUGAGCCCUUUACACCAGGGGCAAGAGGGCUGCAGGCCAGAGCCAGCAAAAGAGAAGCAGCAGAGGGAAUGAGAAACCUAGAAGGUGGAACGGGAAGGAGGGAGUGAAAUGGGCAAAGGCCCAAAAAAAAAAAACAACAACUCCCCCCUCCUAAGUUUAGUGCAUUUAACUCUAUAAAUAUCUAUUGAACACUUACUGGAUGCCAGGCACUUUUCUAGGCACUGGGCAGCUAGCAUUAAACAGGAGGCAGAAACCCCUGCCUUCAACAAAAUCUAUGCUGUGUUGAAUAAGUGAUACAGGGAAAAGCUGAAGAUGGGGAGAGAGGUGGGGAGGGUAUAGAGGAUGGGAAGAAAUUUACAAAAGAGGCAGGGAGGGCUUUACUGAGAAGGUGACUAUGAAGGAAGUGAAGGAAGGGCAUUGCAGGCCAGGGGCUCAUUGUGUGCAAGGGCCCUGGGGUGGAAGUGAUCAUGCAGUGGCGUGAGUGUGGGUUUGAGUAGCAGGUGAUGGUUAGAGGUAAGGCGUGAGCCACCACGCCCGGCCUAUAGUCAUGAUUUUAUUUAUUUAUUUUGAGACACAGUCUCCCUCUGUUGCCCAGGCUGGAGUGCAGUGGUGUGACCUCAGCUCACCGCAGUGCCCCCUGGGUUCAAGCGAUUCUUGUGCCUCAGCCUCCCAAGUAGCUGGGAUUACAGGCAUGCACCACCACACUCAGCUAAUUUUUGUGUUUUUAGUAGAGAUGGGGUUUCGCUAUGUUGGCUAGACUGG
This 1561-nucleotide long non-coding RNA is filed under the name Pan troglodytes (chimpanzee). Its description in RNAcentral is "long non-coding RNA NONPTRT004927". Lineage: Eukaryota; Metazoa; Chordata; Mammalia; Primates; Hominidae. The record is from RNAcentral.